CCUGCGCGGAAGAUGUAACGGGGCUAAACCAUGCACCGAAGCUGCGGCAGCGACACUAUGUGUUGUUGGGUAGGGGAGCGUUCUGUAAGCCUGUGAAGGUGUGCUGUGAGGUAUGCUGGAGGUAUCAGAAGUGCGAAUGCUGACAUAAGUAACGAUAAAGCGGGUGAAAAGCCCGCUCGCCGGAAGACCAAGGGUUCCUGUCCAACGUUAAUCGGGGCAGGGUGAGUCGACCCCUAAGGCGAGGCCGAAAGGCGUAGUCGAUGGGAAACAGGUUAAUAUUCCUGUACUUGGUGUUACUGCGAAGGGGGGACGGAGAAGGCUAUGUUGGCCGGGCGACGGUUGUCCCGGUUUAAGCGUGUAGGCUGGUUUUCCAGGCAAAUCCGGAAAAUCAAGGCUGAGGCGUGAUGACGAGGCACUACGGUGCUGAAGCAACAAAUGC
This 439-nucleotide ribosomal RNA is filed under the name Escherichia coli. RNAcentral describes it as "partial 23S ribosomal RNA". It matches the Rfam family "Bacterial large subunit ribosomal RNA", at positions 1158 to 1600 of the family's 2925-position model. The record is from RNAcentral. Lineage: Bacteria; Pseudomonadati; Pseudomonadota; Gammaproteobacteria; Enterobacterales; Enterobacteriaceae.